UACGUAGGGGGCUAGCGUUGUCCGGAAUCAUUGGGCGUAAAGAGCGUGUAGGCGGCUUUGCAAGUGCGGCGUGAAAGUCCUGGGCUCAACCUGGGGACGGCGCUGCGGACUGCAUGGCUGGAGUCCGGAAGAGGGUGGUGGAAUUCCGAGUGUAGAGGUGAAAUUCGUAGAUAUUCGGAGGAACACCGGUGGCGAAGGCGGCCACCUGGUCCGGCACUGACGCUGUAGCGCGAAAGCGUGGGGAGCAAACAGG
RNAcentral lists this ribosomal RNA (253 nucleotides) under uncultured bacterium. RNAcentral describes it as "partial 16S ribosomal RNA". It matches the Rfam family "Bacterial small subunit ribosomal RNA", at positions 524 to 776 of the family's 1533-position model. The record is from RNAcentral.